UCGAGAAGCUUCGGCAAUGGGCGAAAGCCUGACCGAGCGACGCCGCGUGAGCGAUGAAGGCCCUAUGGGUUGUAAAGCUCUGUCAGAUUGGGAAGAAAACUUCGGGGUUAAUACCCCCGAAGCUUGACGGUACCAUCAGAGGAAGCACCGGCUAACUCCGUGCCAGCAGCCGCGGUAAUACGGAGGGUGCAAGCGUUGUUCGGAUUCACUGGGUAUAAAGGGUGCGUAGGCGGCGCGAUAAGUCAGGGGUGAAUAUGUCGGCUCAACCGACAAACUGCCUCUGAAACUGCCGCGCUUGAGGUCGGGAGAGGAAGGUGGAAUUCCAGGUGUAGCGGUGAAAUGCGUAAAUAUCUGGAGGAACACCAAUGGCGAAGGCAGCCUUCUGGCCCGAUUCUGACGCUGAGGCACGAAAGCCAGGGGAGCAAACG
RNAcentral lists this ribosomal RNA (428 nucleotides) under uncultured prokaryote. RNAcentral's name for it is "bacterial SSU rRNA". It matches the Rfam family "Bacterial small subunit ribosomal RNA", at positions 355 to 774 of the family's 1533-position model. The record is from RNAcentral.